AGAGUUUGAUUCUGGCUCAGGAUGAACGCUAGCGGCAGGCCUAAUACAUGCAAGUCGUACGGGAUCGCCCCGUCGGGGGCGUGAGAGUGGCGGACGGGUGCGCAACGCGUAUGCAACCCACCCCCCGAGGGCGGACAGCCGGUGGAAACGCCGGGUGAGCCGCCGUGCGGCCCAGGAGGGGGCACUCCCCUUUGGGCGAUAGCCGAGAGGCGGCGGGGGACGGGCAUGCCGUCCCAUUAGCUUGUUGGCGGUGCAACGGACCACCAAGGCUACGAUGGGUAGGGGAUCUGAGAGGACGGUCCCCCCACACUGGCACUGAGACACGGGCCAGACUCCUGGCGGGAGGCAGCAGGUAGGGGAUAGUUGGGCAAGUGGGGGCAACCCUGACCCAGCCAUGCCGCCGUGAGGGAAGUAGGCCCUACGGGUCGUGAACCUCUUUUGACCGGGGACAAUGGCGGCGUCGAGAACGCUGCUUGAGGGUACCGGUGGAAUAAGCAUCGGCUAACUCCGUGCCAGCCGCCGC
RNAcentral lists this ribosomal RNA (523 nucleotides) under uncultured bacterium. RNAcentral describes it as "bacterial SSU rRNA". It matches the Rfam family "Bacterial small subunit ribosomal RNA", at positions 8 to 518 of the family's 1533-position model. The record is from RNAcentral.